This 321-nucleotide ribosomal RNA is filed under the name uncultured Veillonellaceae bacterium. RNAcentral's name for it is "bacterial SSU rRNA". It matches the Rfam family "Bacterial small subunit ribosomal RNA", at positions 1 to 339 of the family's 1533-position model. Lineage: Bacteria; Bacillati; Bacillota; Negativicutes; Veillonellales; Veillonellaceae. The record is from RNAcentral.
AGUAGUUGAUCCUGGCUCGAGGACGAACGCUGGCGGCGUGCUUAACACAUGCAAGUCGAACGGGCACUUCGGUGCUAGUGGCGAACGGGUGAGUAAAGCGCAGGUAAUCUGCCGCAAAGUCGGGGACAACGUCCCGAAAGGGACGCUAAUACCGGAUGUUGUAGUGGAGUCGCAUGACUUUGUUACUAAAGAUUUAUCGCUUUGCGAGGAGCCUGCGUCCGAUUAGGUAGUUGGUAGGGUAAGAGCUUACAAAGCCGACGAUCGGUAACCGGUCUGAGAGGAUGAACGGUCACAUUGGAACUGAGACACGGUCCAGACUCC